UGAACGCUGGCGGCGUGCCUAAUACAUGCAAGUCGAGCGAACAGACGGGGAGCUUGCUCCUUCGACGUUAGCGGCGGACGGGUGAGUAACACGUAGGUAACCUACCUAUAAGACUGGGAUAACUUCGGGAAACCGGAGCUAAUACCGGAUAAUAUUUCGAACCGCAUGGUUCGAUAGUGAAAGAUGGCUUUGCUAUCACUUAUAGAUGGACCUGCGCCGUAUUAGCUAGUUGGUAAGGUAACGGCUUACCAAGGCAACGAUACGUAGCCGACCUGAGAGGGUGAUCGGCCACACUGGAACUGAGACACGGUCCAGACUCCUACGGGAGGCAGCAGUAGGGAAUCUUCCGCAAUGGGCGAAAGCCUGACGGAGCAACGCCGCGUGAGUGAUGAAGGUCUUCGGAUCGUAAAACUCUGUUAUUAGGGAAGAACAAACGUGUAAGUAACUGUGCACGUCUUGACGGUACCUAAUCAGAAAGCCACGGCUAACUACGUG
Molecule: ribosomal RNA, 495 nt
Filed under: uncultured bacterium
Lineage: Bacteria
Description: partial 16S ribosomal RNA
Rfam family: Bacterial small subunit ribosomal RNA
Source: RNAcentral